AGAUAUUGCUGUGUAACUGACAUUACUGAGUCAGUUUUCUGAUUUUAUGACUCUUGAGUGUGCAAGUUUAUACUUGACCUCAGAAAUGGUAGUUUGAACAAAUUAUUUCAACUCAAGGUCCACUUACUAGCUUUUUCGACGGCAUCUCAUCGUCGUCAUCAGCGUCUUAGAUAUGGAUGGAUUUUGCUCAAUUAUCACUUGUGGUUAGCGGCUCAGGAAAAACCUAGUAGGUGGGUGUUGAGUUAAGAUUUUGUUGUCAAUUCAUGACUCCUCUGCUAUCGAUGCAUUUUAAAUGAACUGUUGUCCUGUAAUUGUGGCAAUGUGAAAGAUACAGGCUUGCUUUUAGAAAAAGGUUGGAUGAAUGUAAAACAGAAUAAAAAAUAUCAUCCUCAAAGUGAAAUAGUUAACAGCAUUUAACACUGAGGGUGCGAAUGACAGUGAAGCCUGUCACCUAUAGUACACUGACUUCAUCAGGCAACAAGAGAGGACUUACCCGCUGUCUAAUUAUGUAUAUGAGACUUUAAACAUCAAAAUAAUUGUCAGGUAUAAUCACCAAAAGCCAUUCUUCUAUGCAAUGGUUUCUCUUGUUUAUAGUAAUUAUUCUAUUGUCACAUAUACAUAGUGUUAAACCUGCAAUAACGUUUUUUUUGGCCACUUGGGGGCAGCAUAACAAGAUGUAAACACAGCGUUUACAUAUUAUCAAUAGUUACCAAACAAAUUUACAUAUCCAGCAAACACAGAGCAACAUUUUGAGUUGUGUUCUGGCCACCUGAUGAAUGUAAGUCCAAUGUUCAGUCUAUUAGCUCUGGCCUGGUCUCCACCCAUUUUUAAAGGCUCUCUAGCUGCUAAAUGUUCACUAGUCACUAACGUUGUCUGCUGUUUGGUGCUGGGCAGGUAGCAUAGCAUAGCUCUGCAUGCUGCUGCUGGAAACACUGCUGAUGAGAGCCUGAGUCUGGUCAUAAUUUCCUAUGACUUUGUCAUUUGAUCGACUUUUAAUAUAAAAAUUACAAAUUAUAUUAAAUUAUAUACAUUUAUAAACAUUUUUAAAUCACUUCCUUAGCAGACUUACAAAGUUACUUUUGCAUCAUCCUCAGUUAAGAAACAACUGACUGAACCUGCACCGAGCAGUGCCUGCAGGGCCAAAACGAUAUGCGCUUCAGACAGGCUACCGUGCUGAAGCACAAUAGAAGAACAGCCCACGCCCGCGUGGCCUGAAGUGCCUUGCAGACAAACAGAGAGGCAGGGCCUCAUGUCCGGGUUGUCGGUAUCAGACCAGCUCUUAUCUUGAAUAAAUGCCACUCCACACAUUUGUCUGUCUCCCUGCCUGCUGGAGAGCUGUUGGAAUGCUCAGAGAAAUCUCCUCCUCGGGCCUUCUGAGAUCCCAGUCUUGGCGGCUUCACUCUGGCACACCUUCCCCCCUCUCUCGCUCCUUGGAGAGACAUGGGCCGGUAUCUACCACAUUAGGGUGGAUAAUGGGGAUGGAUGGAGCAUUGCAAAGCCAGGUAUGAUGGGCCCGAAGGGCGUGGGAGGAAAAUGGAUAUGUCGUCAUAAAAGGACCUGUGAAUACCAGACAGAGGAAUUCCACUGAGCCUCGACUACAUGCCUGGAGCCAGAGGGAAACAAGGCAUCCAACACGAACAUGGAAACCUGACAUGGCAGGAUUCAACCAGCUAUGCUCUCUGCCCCCUGAGUAACCAGCCCAGAAAAGGGAAGAGGACAGGGGACAGACACCGUGUCACAUUCUCACACACACCUGCUCGACUGACACUUCGAACAGAAGAGUGGGGGCUGUUUCGUCCCAGCAGGUGCAGGGUGUCGACCGCCCAGUUGUAAACAUCAGGGAUGCAGAUGGCCGUGGCCGACUUCCUCUCCCGUUCCCGUUGGGAGGGGGGGUUAGACCGGAUGGCUCCUCGGCCUAAGUCGGGCGGUGGGGGUAUGUGGAGUAGCAUGAAGAGCACCUGAAGAGAGCCACAACAGCCAGCCAGGGUGGCUGGCUUUUCUGGACAGAGGCAGAGGUGCAGUCGGAGGAACCGCUGAUGCUAGAAGGAAAGAUUUUGUGUGGAGAAAAAGAAAAGAAUAAAGAAUA
Long non-coding RNA from Siniperca chuatsi (mandarin fish), 2086 nucleotides. RefSeq lists it as uncharacterized. NCBI's taxonomy places the organism in Eukaryota, Metazoa, Chordata, Actinopteri, Centrarchiformes, Sinipercidae. The record is from RefSeq and is a predicted model, not a curated record. The transcript is spliced from 5 exons.